This 253-nucleotide ribosomal RNA is filed under the name uncultured bacterium. RNAcentral describes it as "partial 16S ribosomal RNA". It matches the Rfam family "Bacterial small subunit ribosomal RNA", at positions 524 to 776 of the family's 1533-position model. The record is from RNAcentral.
UACGUAGGGGGCAAGCGUUGUCCGGAAUCAUUGGGCGUAAAGAGCGUGUAGGCGGCCUGAUAAGUCGGCUGUGAAAGUCAAGGGCUCAACCCUUGAAUGCCGGCCGAUACUGUCAGGCUAGAGUCCGGAAGAGGCGAGUGGAAUUCCUGGUGUAGCGGUGAAAUGCGCAGAUAUCAGGAAGAACACCAAUGGCGAAGGCAGUUCUCUGGGACGGUACUGACGCUGAGACGCGAAAGCGUGGGGAGCGAACAGG